RNAcentral lists this ribosomal RNA (776 nucleotides) under uncultured Neocallimastigales. Its description in RNAcentral is "partial large subunit ribosomal RNA". It matches the Rfam family "Eukaryotic large subunit ribosomal RNA", at positions 24 to 639 of the family's 3401-position model. Lineage: Eukaryota; Fungi; Neocallimastigomycota; Neocallimastigomycetes; Neocallimastigales. The record is from RNAcentral.
UAUCUCUGUAGAGUCUGCAUAUCAAUAAGCGGAGGAAAAGAAACUAACUAGGAUUCCCUCAGUAACGGCGAGUGAAGCGGGAAGAGCUCAAAUUUGAAAUCUUCAAGGUUCUACCUUGACGAAUUGUAGUUUAAAGAAGUGUUUUCUGUUGGAGUUUUGGUAAAAGUUCUUUGGAAUAGGACAUCAUAGAGGGUGAGAAUCCCGUAUUUGACCAUUAUUUCCAGCUUUGUGAUACACUUUCAAAGAGUCGGAUUGUUUGGGAAUGCAGUCCAAAAUGGGUGGUAAAUUUCAUCUAAAGCUAAAUACUGGCGAGAGACCGAUAGCGAACAAGUACCGUGAGGGAAAGAUGAAAAGAACUUUGAAAAGAGAGUUAAACAGUACGUGAAAUUGUCAAAAGGGAAGCGUUUGACACCAGUGUUGUUUUCCUCGAAAAUCAAUUGAAAAAAGGCAGGAUUUUGUGUUGUAUUGACUUUAUCAGCUUUCUGCACUCUUUUCUUGUCUUUUUUAAUGCACUUUUCGUUUAACAAGUCAACAUCAAUUUCUUUUGUUGUAAAAGGGUCAUUGGAAGGUGGCUUUCUUUUCGGAGAAAGUGUUUAUAGCCUUUGGCCUCUGCAAUCGGAGAGAUUGAGGUCUGCAGCGUAGAUCCUUCGGGGUUAGAUACAUUUGUGCUAAGUUAUAGCCUUUCAUAGACAACUUGUUGACUAUGAUCAGUCAUGUAGCUUACUCGCUUAUGCUAUUUUACCUACGCUUAGGAUGUUGACGAUCAGCUGAGCGCG